UACACGAACGACACCGCUUCGAGUAACUACAAUACAAUGGCUUCCAUCUUUAACCUGAGCCUGAUUGCCCUGGUGGUGAUGAUGAUGGCGGCUGGCGCCAUUGCUGAUCCUGAUCCUAAACCUUUCCCUGCGCCUGGCAAAGGCAAAGGCGGGGGCAAAGGAAAGGGUAAAGGACACUAAAGAAAGAACGAUGACCUUAUUGGAAACUCCGCAAACUUUGAUUCGAUUUAGGGUACUUUCUUUCAUUUUGAAAGGUACUUUAUGAAUAAACUUGGUUGGGAAAUA
Hyalella azteca is the source of this 285-nucleotide long non-coding RNA. RefSeq lists it as uncharacterized. The record is from RefSeq and is a predicted model, not a curated record. NCBI's taxonomy places the organism in Eukaryota, Metazoa, Arthropoda, Malacostraca, Amphipoda, Hyalellidae. The transcript has 2 exons.